UACGUAGGGACCAAGCGUUGUUCGGAUUUACUGGGCGUAAAGGGCGCGUAGGCGGCAAUUCAAGUCAGCUGUGAAAUCUCCGGGCUUAACUCGGAACGGUCAGCUGAUACUGCUUUGCUAGAGUGCGGAAGGGGCAAUCGGAAUUCUCGGUGUAGCGGUGAAAUGCGUAGAUAUCGAGAGGAACACCUGAGGUGAAGACGGGUUGCUGGGCCGACACUGACGCUGAGGCGCGAAAGCGUGGGGAGCGAACAGG
Molecule: ribosomal RNA, 253 nt
Filed under: uncultured bacterium
Lineage: Bacteria
Description: partial 16S ribosomal RNA
Rfam family: Bacterial small subunit ribosomal RNA
Source: RNAcentral